This 253-nucleotide ribosomal RNA is filed under the name uncultured bacterium. RNAcentral describes it as "partial 16S ribosomal RNA". It matches the Rfam family "Bacterial small subunit ribosomal RNA", at positions 524 to 776 of the family's 1533-position model. The record is from RNAcentral.
UACGUAGGUGGCAAGCGUUGUCCGGAAUUAUUGGGCGUAAAGCGCUCGCAGGCGGUCCUUUAAGUCUGAUGUGAAAGCCCACGGCUCAACCGUGGAGGGUCAUUGGAAACUGGGGGACUUGAGUACAGAAGAGAAGAGUGGAAUUCCACGUGUAGCGGUGAAAUGCGUAGAGAUGUGGAGGAACACCAGUGGCGAAGGCGACUCUUUGGUCUGUAACUGACGCUGAGGCGCGAAAGCGUGGGGAGCAAACAGG